AACUUUUCAGCAUGAGACUAGUGUGGGCAGGGCAGUUCCAGCCUGUGUCUGUGUUGCUGUGUUGUUUGUGUAGUCUGUCUUCUGUGUCUUAUACCAUACCUUUAUCGGGUCUUAAUAUCUUUGUAGCUCUUUGAUCGGCAGGGACCUCGGUAGUCUUCCCGAGAGUCCCGAGCGCAUCGCCUCAUCGGCAUCGCACCCAUCGAGCCUUCUUGUCUCGCGCUUAUAGCUUAAAGCGUGGAUCGGUCUGGCAUGCGUCGCGCCGUAGAUGUUUUUGAGCGGUCAUCUCUCGAGGUGGCGAGCUAGGUGGCGCUUGCGGCUCCGCUCUUGAGACUUCUGUUUGUACAGAGUUGUCUUCUGGGGUUUCAUUCCCAUGUUCUUAACGGUCUUAGGUCUUAAAGCCUGGCUUCUUACGCAUCCAUCAUUCUGGUUUUGACGGUAGCUUUCUCUCGCAGGCCGCAGCGGUCGCCUCUCUUUCUCGAGGCCGCUAUAAAGCAUCUGCGCCAUCGUGGCACCGUAGGGCUUCUCUGUCGGCCACAUCUUCCCUACGGUAGUCGGUCGUCUCGCUCGCGGUCGUCUCGUGUCUCACGGUCACGUUAUUUGUGGCGUCUGUGUGCGGUGUCGGUCUGCGUCGGGGUCGGAGCUGCCCUGCCCAGGGGUGUAGCAAUGCGGUGUAGCAAGGCACGGUGUUGUGAUAAUAUGUUGAUCUGCUCAAAUUGUUUUGACAAAGACCGUACGGUUCAUCUCUGGGCAAGUAGCUGUAGACAGCUGCCACAGAGUUAUUUUCAUUGUGUUUUGCAGGUGCCGGAGGUCAGACUCUGGCCUUCUGGGAGCGGCAGUUUGUGCGGCGGUCGAGCGGGUUGAAUCUUGAAUGUGCCUUAGCUUGUAUAUGUGGGGCUCAAUAUCUGGGGUUUGGUUUUUCCUUUUUUUUUUUUUUUUCCCGGGUGUAGUUAGAAGGCACACGCAAAAAGAAGACGGACCUUUUGUCUCGCCAAGCUAUCGGUCAGCAUCCGGGUGACUCGCUUUACACGGUUUGUUCGGGUUUUUCCGACGCGGAGCGACGAGCCGCGUGCCGAAGGACGACGGAAGAGGCGAGCGGAGCGCCGGGUGAAGGCGGGCCGGCGUCCGAUGUCGGAGGAUCGGCACAACUGUCGGCGGUUCUGACUGGCUUAUGCUUUUUCAGUUUAUGCUUUUCUAGAUGCAAAUCGAUGUAUGAAGCGGGAUAUCCGCACCGGAGCGGACUUUGGCAAGAUUUACAGAGGGCGGGCCGGGCUCGGCACAGAGGACCGAAGAAUCUGACUCUGAGCGGCCGAGGGGCCGUGCUCCUUUGCAGAGGGGCGAAGCUGCACAGCCGCAAGCGGUUGGAGAAAAGGCGAGAGACUCGUUAAGCGGUCCGCUCCGGCUCAAAUUUCCGAGGAGCUCACGGUAACUCGGCCGAGCGUUUGUCUUUGGUUUUGCCGGUGCUGUGAAGGCUUUCCUCAAACGGCUGAGGAUUUGAGGCGAGUCGGCGGAGGAGAGAGGAGCGGCAGGGCGGGAACCGCAGAGCGGGUUAUCGCUUCCGAUUACGACGGGCGCUUUAUCUCUCCGGUUUUCCGGCUUCCACGGGAGA
Long non-coding RNA from Gymnogyps californianus (California condor), 1606 nucleotides. RefSeq lists it as uncharacterized. The record is from RefSeq and is a predicted model, not a curated record. NCBI's taxonomy places the organism in Eukaryota, Metazoa, Chordata, Aves, Accipitriformes, Cathartidae. The transcript is spliced from 3 exons.